RNAcentral lists this unclassified non-coding RNA (2417 nucleotides) under Hevea brasiliensis (rubber tree). Lineage: Eukaryota; Viridiplantae; Streptophyta; Magnoliopsida; Malpighiales; Euphorbiaceae. The record is from RNAcentral.
CUCCAAUGUUAUUUCUUCGGGAUAUACAUGAAAUCAUAUCACAGGAAAAGUUUAAAAAGUAAUAAUAACAAUGCCAUCUGAACAUGAAAAUGAAAUACUAACAGGGAGUUAAUAAUAAUACAAGCAUGCAAAUGCAUAAUGAGUGAGUCUGUACAGGUUUGAUAAAUACAGGACCAACAAAUAAACGAUUCACAGUGACUGUUAGUUGUAUUAUCUGCAUGUAAAUGUACAAAAACACAUACCAAAAUACCAACUUUGCCCAUAGCAAAUAAUUACCAUAACGAACAAACAGCAAUGCACCAUUUAACCAUCACCCCUCUCCUAUAUUUGAUAAUUUUUAUUUUAUUUUAUUUUCUGCAGGGUGAAUUACUAGCUCCUAUACAUCCUUUCUGCAGUCAAUGCUUCAGAUUUGCAUAUGGGGCAGACAUUCUUCACGUGCAACCACUUCUUCAAGCAAUCUGCAUGGUACUCGUGUCCACAAUCAAGAGUUCCAAUCUUCUCUUGAUGUUUGUAAUCAUCCUGGCAUAUAAUGCAAGAAUCAGAUUCUUGAUCCAAACAAGCCGUCUCUUCCAGAUUGAUUGACAUUGGUGAUGAUAAAUAUGUUCGUGUCUUUAAUUGACUUCUGAUUGUUUCCUCUGAUAAUCCAGUGUUCACAUUGCCAAUCCUCUCCCCAAGUGCAAGAAGCUCCUCAUAAGACAUAUCCUCUAUAUCCAAGCGCAUAUCACUGUGAUGGUCAACAUAAUUCUCUACCUCAUAAUAAUCCGGUAACUCCAGUACAGCUACCCCCUGCACACAUCAAUUCCUAUGUCUUAGUCUCUUCAAUAAAUAGAAGAAACAUUGUCAAUCAAAGUAUAGCAUAUAAAUCACCUUAGAUAACAAUAACAUUUUAUCAAAAUUCAAAAAACAACCACUUCUAGUGAGGAUUUGUUUGAAAUUAAAGUUCAGAGGUAAAGGCAAAACAUUACAUCAGUUGGCAAAACUCUAAGAUGAGGAACAUUGCGGUGUCUUAUAGCUGUCUCAGAUAUAACUCCCUCAUGGUGAGGUCUGUAUAUCCUAAGGCCAGUUGGCUGGAUAGAUCCCAGAUGCCUAACUCCAAUAUCCAUACCAUCCUGAGAUGGAUUCACAUUGCUCUGUGAGGCAUAGCUUGUAGGACCUCUAAAUGAAGUAGCUGAUACUUGAGGAAGAACAUUAAGAUUGUGGCCUCUCAUUCCUUGAAUGGGAAGUGACAGGUGAUGAAAAUUGUGCUGCCGUAGGUUGGCAGGAGAGGGAUGCAAGAAACUUGUGUUACUUCUGUUGCCAGAUAGGUCAUGAUAACGUUGUGGACCCAUGCUUCCAGUGUCAACCCUACUGAAAUUGUUCCCAUGCACAUAAGUGAUUGCUGGGUUCUGGGUCCAUGCUGAAGUUCCUGCAUCACUUGAAGUAUUGCUUAGCUGUUGAUCUAACCAUAGAGAACCAGAAGGCUGAAAGGGCUGACUCAUAUAGUUUCCCUGAAUAAAGUGAUUUUGAUUGUGUGCCAGAACAGGAUCCAGCCCAGUAGCACCUAAUCUGUUCCUCACACUUCUAUGAGAUCCCAAUUCCCUGACUGAUGAAGUACUAUUCCCUCUGUACUGAGGUGGCGUGAAAGAUGCAGCAUCCAUUAAAGCAACCCCAUCAGGAUGUCUAAUAUUUAAGGAUGUAGCUGAAGAACUGGAGCUUGCUGAGGCAUUGAAAUACUGAAAAUUCCCAGGGCUGCCUUCUGCAUUCUUUCUCUUGUAUGAACCUCUGGCAUUAUCCAUGAAGUGGCUGUUUGUUCCAUACUCAUCAGCAGAAACUCCAAUGACUCCAUAAUUGGUGGAAGAUGGUAAACGGUCACAAGACCCAUGACUUAAAGGAAUACUAGAAGAUGGGGUCAUGUAAGGAACAUAGAAAUUGGAUGCAGUAGCAACACCUAAAUCAAGAUUUGGCACAUGAUGCUGAGGAUGAUGUUGAACACCAGGGUAUUGUGGCAUCCCGUAAAAAAUAGCAUUGUCAUAAUGCUCUGGUAGAUGGCGGGAAUCAACAUUAGUUGUAUUCCCUGAAGCUGUAGCCACUGUCUGAAUAUCAGGCUGUGGGAAGUUAGUUAUGCCCCCCAAGAGAAUGCAGGGCUCAGGAUGAAGAUAACCCUGGCCUUGCUGAUCCAUUUCUAGAUCUAUCUGACUAGUGCACAGCAUGUUCCUUUGUCCCAUACCUAAAGUUAUCCCUUGUGAACAUUAAACAAAGUCAGAGAUGGAGUUUCACCGAUGAAUAAAUUGUGAAAAAAUACCUAAAUUGAGGAACUCUAAUAGAUCUCUCACAGAAAUUCUGAGAGAGAGACAGAGACAGGAAGGAAGGAAGGAAGGAAGGAAGGAGGGGACUCGCUCAGAUUUCCUCUUUCUAAUUAUUUUAUACGCAAAUGCGAU